GCCCGGGUAGCUCAGUGGUAGAGCGUCCGGCUGUUAACCGGAAGGUCGGAGGUUCGAGUCCUCCCCCGGGCG
This 72-nucleotide transfer RNA is filed under the name Microcaldota archaeon. Its description in RNAcentral is "tRNA-Asn". It matches the Rfam family "tRNA". Rfam says of the family: Transfer RNA (tRNA) molecules are approximately 80 nucleotides in length. Their secondary structure includes four short double-helical elements and three loops (D, anti-codon, and T loops). Further hydrogen bonds mediate the characteristic L-shaped molecular structure. tRNAs have two regions of fundamental functional importance: the anti-codon, which is responsible for specific mRNA codon recognition, and the 3' end, to which the tRNAs corresponding amino acid is attached (by aminoacyl-tRNA synthetases). tRNAs cope with the degeneracy of the genetic code in two manners: having more than one tRNA (with a specific anti-codon) for a particular amino acid; and 'wobble' base-pairing, i.e. permitting non-standard base-pairing at the 3rd anti-codon position. Lineage: Archaea; Nanobdellati; Microcaldota. The record is from RNAcentral.